GAAUGUUGAUAGUGGCUUUAUUCAUCACCUCCAGUAAUUGCGAACAACCCAAAUGUCUUUCAAUGUGUGAAUUUUAGAAUAGUGAUACAAGGACUUAAUGGACCAACAACUGACAAGAACUGUGAAUUUGAGCACAUCCAGUAAUAUUAUGCUCAGUAGCAUACUGUCUAGAACGUUCAGAAAAAGCAAAACCAUAAACAGAAAUUUAAUCAGGAAUUGCCAGGAGUGGGAGCUGAUUCCAUAAGCCUGAAGAAACUUUUAAGGUGGGGAUAACAUUUAAAUCACACAGGGCAGCCCAGGUGGCUCAGUGGUUUAGCGUCGCCUUUGGCCCGAGGCGUGAUCCUGGGGACCCUGGAUCAAGUCCCAGGUCAGGCUCCCUGUAUGGAGCCUGCUUCUCCCUCUGCCUGUUUCUCUGCCUCUCAUGAAUAAAUAAAUAAAAUCUUAAAAAAAAAAAAAAAAAAAAAAAAAAAAAACUAAAUCACACAGAUGUCACAGAACUACACUCUUAAUUAUGAAUCUCGCCUAAUGUGAAUUGCCAAUAAAAGCAGCUUCAAAAAGUCCACAGGGGCCAUCUUUCAUUUAUCUACUGCCAAUAACCCAAAUUUGCAGAUUUUUUUUUCAAAUUUGCAAAUUUGGUAACCCAAUGUUUAAGGGAGCUUUAGAGAAACGACUCUUGUACAAGAGCAUAAACUGGCUCAAACCCCACAGAAGGCAGUUUGGCACAAUCUACUAAAAUUAAAUUGCAGAAACAUACUCAGCCAAAAAUAAUUCUUACCUGAUACUCAUCUGUGUGCACACUUGAGCUUAUUUACUACUUUGUAUAUACUUACAAAUCAUGUAAACCCAAAUACCAUAUAAUGGCACACUAGCCUAUACAUCAAUGAAGAUGGACUUCAUGGAAGGACCAGAACACAUUGUUAUCUGUGUAACAGUAUAUACAGUAUACAAGGUUUUAGGGUCAAAAAAAAAAAAUGGUGAAUCAUACUCAUUUGCUGUGUACACUUCAAAAAAACUAGAUACACAAGACUAAUGGCAAUGAUUAUGGGGGAAGGACUUAGAGUUGGGCCAAUGGGGGAGAAAUGGAAGUCUGUGGCCUAAAGAGCAGGGCGGUUUCCUGUCCUCAUAGUCCAGUAUUAUCUGGUUCAACAAUGACCUGGGAAAAAAUGCAGGGUGGUGCUGGGUGACAAGCCAGAGACUAAGGGAGCUAAAUGCUAGUCCAGAGCCAACAAAGAGAAGGUUCCACUACAGCUGGUACCACCCAUUCAGCUCCCACUCCUCUUAGCAGAGGCUAAGAUCCCACAAGCUGGCCGAGUCAAACCACACUUCCAGGCAGGUAAAAAUAAAAAAAGACACAAAAGAAAUGGAUCAGUUGUUUAAUUAGGUUCUUUGUAAGAAAUUUAGAACACCAAUUUGUGAGGGUAAACUCCAUUUGUGAGAGAAAACACAGAGCGGAGGUAGCCCUGAAGCUGAGGAACAGCUUUGAUUUUUGGCAGAAUUUGCGAGUCCACAGCUUUCUGAUCAACCUUGCGCUGCUCUGUAAUCUCGUAUUUCU
RNAcentral lists this long non-coding RNA (1552 nucleotides) under Canis lupus familiaris (dog). RNAcentral describes it as "lncRNA (ENSCAFG00000050443.1)". The record is from RNAcentral. Lineage: Eukaryota; Metazoa; Chordata; Mammalia; Carnivora; Canidae.